Molecule: long non-coding RNA, 631 nt
Filed under: Helianthus annuus (common sunflower)
Lineage: Eukaryota; Viridiplantae; Streptophyta; Magnoliopsida; Asterales; Asteraceae
Source: RNAcentral
CCAGCGUGCCGGUCAUCCACCGCCGCUCAUCCGCCGCCUGCAUCCACCGUCAGUCAUCCACCGCCGCUCCACCACGCCUGCAUCCACGCCGGUCAUCCACCACGCCUGCAUCCACCGUCAGUCAUCCACCGCCGCUCAUCCACCGUCAGUCAUCCGCCGCAAUUUAAAGUGUUUGGUUAUAUCUGAGUUAUGCUGUUCUAAUGAAGUUAAUUUGGAUGAGCUCACUGAAGAUAUAAUGUCACUUGAUAUUAGUGGAGAAUCAAAUGCUUCAAACUCAAUGAACACUUCUAAGGUAACCACUCCAAAUGCUUCGAGUAGUGUUGCUAAAAAACAAUGAACAAUCUAAGGUUUGAAUUGUUGGAAUUAAAGAUCUAAGAGGAGAACCAUGGCAACUUGGAAACUUUGAACUUGUUUUUAAUGGAUAUAUUGAAUUAUUUAAGUCUUUUGUGAUUUGCCGUUUAUGGAUUUUUGUUUUAAACUUGUUAAGUAUUCAGUAUUUUGUGGAUUAUUUAAGCUGUUUGUGAACUUUUGGCGAGUUUUGUUUCACUAAACAGGUUCUAAAUAUGUGAUUAUUUUAGUGUUAGUUAACAGGUAUUAACAGGUAAUUUUCGUGUAUUUCGUGUCGUGUUCG